RNAcentral lists this ribosomal RNA (497 nucleotides) under uncultured bacterium. Its description in RNAcentral is "partial 16S ribosomal RNA". It matches the Rfam family "Bacterial small subunit ribosomal RNA", at positions 28 to 507 of the family's 1533-position model. The record is from RNAcentral.
GAUGAACGCUGGCGGCGUGCCUAAUACAUGCGAGUCGAGCGAACAGACGAGGAGCUUGCUCCUCUGACGUUAGCGGCGGACGGGUGAGUAACACGUGGAUAACCUACCUAUAAGACUGGGAUAACUUCGGGAAACCGGAGCUAAUACCGGAUAAUAUAUUGAACCGCAUGGUUCAAUAGUGAAAGACGGUUUUGCUGUCACUUAUAGAUGGAUCCGCGCCGCAUUAGCUAGUUGGUAAGGUGACGGCUUACCAAGGCAACGAUGCGUAGCCGACCUGAGAGGGUGAUCGGCCACACUGGAACUGAGACACGGUCCAGACUCCUACGGGAGGCAGCAGUAGGGAAUCUUCCGCAAUGGGCGAAAGCUUGACGGAGCAACGCCGCGUGAGUGAUGAAGGUCUUCGGAUCGUAAAACUCUGUUAUUAGGGAAGAACAAAUGUGUAAGUAACUAUGCACGUCUUGACGGUACCUAAUCAGAAAGCCACGGCUAACUACGUG